Molecule: long non-coding RNA, 2615 nt
Organism: Rhagoletis zephyria (snowberry fruit fly)
Lineage: Eukaryota; Metazoa; Arthropoda; Insecta; Diptera; Tephritidae
Source: RefSeq, a predicted model, not a curated record
UUUCGUACGCCAACAGAACAGAAUAGCGCCAGGCGACAGCCGACAACCGACGCAGCAGCAAGUCAAACGCGCUGGAUGGAUGGAGUCUUGUUCAGGCAGAGUCAAGUUUACUCAGUCAAUUGUCGAGUCAGUUUAAGUUUGGCAACGUUCGUAGUUGGACGUGUGUUUUUGUGUAACGGAAUGUUAGGGCAACUGCGCCGCGCUCAACCACAGUUUGGAAUGUUGACACUCUGUUUGAUUUCGUUAAAUACCUACUAAAUGUAUAAGAUACAAAUUGUAAAUUUUGUGUGUGGAUUUGAAUAAUUAUUCUAAAGUGCGCUUUUAAAUGCUAGUGGCAGUGUAACGCCAUUUGCCAUUGAAUUCGAUAAACGCUGUGUGGUGUGGUGGUGACGCAGCGUAAAAAGGUGUUGCAAGACAUUGGUAGCAACAGCCACCGAGCGAGUUAUGUACGUACUAUAAACUCUAAAUCACCACAGAAGCAGUGUUUUGCCUGCACUUCAAGGUAAAAAAUCCCAGCAAGCCAAUUUUUAUUGCAGCCUGCAUGUGACUGACUGAUAUUUUAAGAGCUGAGAAACUUAUUAGACUCAAUGAAACAUUUUAAAUAGAGAGAUACUGCAAAACUCGCACAUGAUAUCUACGAGUAUCAAUUGUACAUAAAUGCAAAGCUAAAAGAUUAAAGGAAAUGCUCCAAGGAAAAUGCCACAACUCCGUGCAGCUUAGCUAAUAAUUUUCAAUACGCCCUUUACUUAAUGCCAAUGAAGUGCACAAAUAGAAUGCACAACGCUAAUAAAUUCAAUUCAAUGCAGCAUGCGCAGCACGCCCACGCAACGCAGAAUCGCCACGCAUCAUUGGCAGACAAACAAACACACCCGUAGUGCAUUGACUGCCAUAUCGCGCAUAGUAAUUGAAGCGAAGCCACGGAAAUAAUCCUAUCAGCAAGCGAACGGUAAAUACACACACACACACAGGCAUUAGCAAAUCAAGCAACUAACGCAAACAAGUCACCAACUAGUAUUAACGUACAUAAACGUCCGUCCGUCCAUGCGCGCGCUGUUUGCAUUGGCAAGUUAUUACAGCGACCAGAACAACAACAGCAGCAACAACAACUAAUAUCCGAACUACUGCUGGGCGGCAGCUCAAUCACGGAAGUAACAAACGCAAAACGCGCUCCUUCUACUUCCGCGCCAAGCGUCUCCACAUCCGUUUGCUGCUGUGCUGCUGUCCUGUUAGACUCGCGCGCCAGCUAGCGCAUAGCGAGAAGGAGUAAUCGAAAAGAAAAAAAAAACAAAGCAAAAAAAAACACACACGAUAGGUGGCUCCAAAAAUAACGCUUGCCAACGCGGCCAAAGAAGAAAGUAUAGCAACAAAACGCGCAAAGUCUGUACAAACUUGCAUUAAGUGUCAGCGUGUUGGCCACGGCCAGGUCGUUGGAAGUAGCGUUAAAAAUCCCAUAGCCUCGCCACGCAUACAUACAAACACAGUUUGGCCGGAAACCGCGAAAACUAAACUAAUUUUCAGCUUACGCAAAAGUCUCCCACAGCGCGCGUCGUCACAUUUUUCUUACUCAAUGUUUCCUGUUGCCGCUGAGACGACCGCAAAUACCACCACAACUAGCAACGCUUGCAUGCAUUUCUUUCUAGCGAAGAGCGAAUAGGCGGCGGAGUGUUGCAUAGUUAGGACGGACAGCCAGCAAGUUACAGAGUUAGAAAGUGUUGCACACUGGUAGGUAAUUGUGGCAGUUGCGCCCACACAUACACACACAAGCGACUGUUUUAUCAGUACAAGUACACGCGAUCGCAGCGUAACUAACUAAAACUAAAAAAAAAAAUAUGUACUUGAAUUAACAAAAACAACAGCAAACUACAAAACCAACAACUUGAGCGAAAUAAUUCAACGCCAAUGACAUCAUAAGUACUGGCAAUGCAACAAGAAGGACUCGCCCCAUACAAGGCUGCAACUGUUUAAAUGUGCACACAUCUAUGUACUUAGUAUAUAUUAUACGUAGCUACAUAGUUAGUAAGUAGUCAAGUGUGUGCAGUUGUAAAAACAAAAACUAAAAACUGAAAACAAAAAAAAAAACAAAAAUUUAAGUGCCGCCAGCUCUUCUAUACUUACUUACUUCUAAGCACUUGAAGAGCAACGCCUCAUAAGGUCCACCGUAGCGUCCAACGCAGCACUUUGAACACUUUCGCGCAGCCAGUUAGCUCGUCCAUUCGCUGGUCGUCCGUUUUGGUCAUAAUGUCGUAAUAACUGUCACCACUGUUUGGUUAAGUGCGAACCAGCUACAUACAUAGAGCAAAAAACAUAUGUACGUAUGUACUGAAAAGCGGCGGCCACGGUGUCUAAGCGCCACCAUUUAAGGACGCGUAAUGUAGCCCAAGCAACGUAACGCACUAAGCACAACUCAAGUGUUGAAAUGCUAUAAAGAAGCUGAACCGAGUCCAGGGCACAAGUCAAGCAGCCAAGCAGGCAGACAGGCAGGCAGGCAGGCGGCCGGCUUCAAAAAGGAAAGUCAUCGUUAGUGGGUGCUAUUGCAUUUGCUUCAUUUUUUUUUAAUUUGACGGAAAUUGUGUUGAAUUAGUGUGUGCGGCAUAAACGACCGAGCAGCUGAAAAA